Molecule: ribosomal RNA, 844 nt
Filed under: uncultured bacterium
Lineage: Bacteria
Description: bacterial SSU rRNA
Rfam family: Bacterial small subunit ribosomal RNA
Source: RNAcentral
CACAUGCAAGUCGAGGGGCAGCACGGGGUAGCAAUACCCUGGUGGCGACCGGCAGACGGGUGAGUAACGCGUAUGUAACCUACCCUGUACAGGGGGAUAACCCGGAGAAAUUCGGACUAAUAUCCCAUGGAAAUAUUGGAAGGCAUCUUUUGAUAUUUAAAGUUCCGGCGGUACGGGAUGGGCAUGCGUAACAUUAGCUAGUUGGUAAGGUAACGGCUUACCAAGGCUUUGAUGUUUAGGGGUCCUGAGAGGGUGGUCCCCCACACUGGUACUGAGACACGGACCAGACUCCUACGGGAGGCAGCAGUGAGGAAUAUUGGUCAAUGGGCGCAAGCCUGAACCAGCCAUCCCGCGUGCAGGAAGACGGCGCUAUGCGUUGUAAACUGCUUUUCCAGGGGGAGAAACUUGCGCACGUGUUGCGCAAUUGACGGUACCCUGGGAAUAAGCAUCGGCUAACUCCGUGCCAGCAGCCGCGGUAAUACGGAGGAUGCAAGCGUUAUCCGGAUUCAUUGGGUUUAAAGGGUGCGUAGGCGGACUAUUAAGUCAGUGGUGAAAUCCUGCAGCUUAACUGCAGAACUGCCAUUGAUACUGAUAGCCUUGAGUUUGGUUAAGGUAGGCGGAAUGUGUAAUGUAGCGGUGAAAUGCUUAGAUAUUACACAGAACACCAAUUGCGUAGGCAGCUUACUGAGCCGACACUGACGCUGAGGCACGAAAGCGUGGGGAUCGAACAGGAUUAGAUACCCUGGUAGUCCACGCCGUAAACGAUGAUUACUCGCUGUUGGCGAUACACUGUCAGCGGCUAAGCAAAAGCAAUAAGUAAUCCACCUGGGGAGUACGGCAGCAA